AAAACGGCCCUUUUCAGGGCCACCAACUUGUUAAAGAGCUAGAAU
Molecule: regulatory RNA element, 45 nt
Organism: Daphnia magna
Lineage: Eukaryota; Metazoa; Arthropoda; Branchiopoda; Diplostraca; Daphniidae
Rfam family: Histone 3' UTR stem-loop
About the family: The mRNAs of metazoan histone genes lack a poly-A tail. 3' end processing occurs at a site between a highly conserved stem-loop (modelled by this family) and a purine rich region around 20 nts downstream (the histone downstream element, or HDE).
Source: Rfam